UGCGUAGGCGGAAAAUUAAGUCAGUGGUGAAAUCCUGCAGCUCAACUGUAGAAUUGCCUUUGAUACUGGUUAUCUUGAGUCAUUAUGAAGUGGUUAGAAUGUGUAGUGUAGCGGUGAAAUGCAUAGAUAUUACACAGAAUACCGAUUGCGAAGGCAGAUCACUAAUAAUGUACUGACACUGAGGGACGAAAGCGUGGGGAGCGAACAGGAUUAGAUACCCUGGUAGUCC
This 229-nucleotide ribosomal RNA is filed under the name uncultured bacterium. RNAcentral describes it as "partial 16S ribosomal RNA". It matches the Rfam family "Bacterial small subunit ribosomal RNA", at positions 568 to 796 of the family's 1533-position model. The record is from RNAcentral.